Long non-coding RNA from Morus notabilis, 215 nucleotides. RefSeq lists it as uncharacterized. The record is from RefSeq and is a predicted model, not a curated record. The transcript is spliced from 3 exons. Lineage: Eukaryota; Viridiplantae; Streptophyta; Magnoliopsida; Rosales; Moraceae.
CCUUCUUUCAAGGCUAAGCUUGCUAAGAUUGCCACGGCUGAGAUGAUUUCCUCCAAGGAGAAGGGCAGGGCAGCGUCCCCGUUGUUGGACCGGAACAAGAAACGGAAGCUAGUCGUCAUUUGCCUCAGGAAGAAGUUAAAUUGUUGUGUCUAUAAGCGCAAAGUCCACAUGUCGAUGUCCUUGGUAAGUAUGCUUUGCUUCACUCUAACGGCCAU